This 792-nucleotide ribosomal RNA is filed under the name uncultured bacterium. Its description in RNAcentral is "bacterial SSU rRNA". It matches the Rfam family "Bacterial small subunit ribosomal RNA", at positions 59 to 868 of the family's 1533-position model. The record is from RNAcentral.
CAGUCGACGGAGAAAUUGAGCUUGCUUAAUGUUCUUAGUGGCGGACGGGUGCGUAACACGUGAGUAACCUGCCUCUGAGAGUGGGAUAGCUUCUGGAAACGGAUGGUAAUACCGCAUAACAUCAUGGAUUCGCAUGUUUCUAUGAUCAAAGAUUUAUCGCUUAGAGAUGGACUCGCGUCUGAUUAGCUAGUUGGUAAGGUAACGGCUUACCAAGGCGACGAUCAGUAGCCGGACUGAGAGGUUGAUCGGCCACAUUGGGACUGAGACACGGCCCAGACUCCUACGGGAGGCAGCAGUGGGGAAUAUUGCACAAUGGGGGAAACCCUGAUGCAGCGAUGCCGCGUGGAGGAAGAAGGUUUUCGGAUUGUAAACUCCUGUUGAAGAGGACGAUAAUGACGGUACUCUUUUAGAAAGCUCCGGCUAACUACGUGCCAGCAGCCGCGGUAAUACGUAGGGAGCGAGCGUUGUCCGGAAUUACUGGGUGUAAAGGGAGCGUAGGCGGGAUGGCAAGUCAGAUGUGAAAACUAUGGGCUCAACCCAUAGACUGCAUUUGAAACUGUUGUUCUUGAGUGAGGUAGAGGUAAGCGGAAUUCCUGGUGUAGCGGUGAAAUGCGUAGAGAUCAGGAGGAACAUCGGUGGCGAAGGCGGCUUACUGGGCCUUUACUGACGCUGAGGCUCGAAAGCGUGGGGAGCAAACAGGAUUAGAUACCCUGGUAGUCCACGCCGUAAACGAUGAUUACUAGGUGUGGGGGGACUGACCCCUUCCGUGCCGCAGUUAACACAAUAAGUAAU